GCCGGGGUCGCCUAGUCCGGUCAGGGCGGUGGGUUGCUAACCCACUGGGGAAAUCCCCGCGUGGGUUCAAAUCCCACCCCCGGCGCCA
RNAcentral lists this transfer RNA (88 nucleotides) under Thermoprotei archaeon. Its description in RNAcentral is "tRNA-Ser". It matches the Rfam family "tRNA". Rfam says of the family: Transfer RNA (tRNA) molecules are approximately 80 nucleotides in length. Their secondary structure includes four short double-helical elements and three loops (D, anti-codon, and T loops). Lineage: Archaea; Thermoproteati; Thermoproteota; Thermoprotei. The record is from RNAcentral. RNAcentral also lists the same sequence under 1 other name.